GUUCCUUUCCCCCUUUUCAUUGUCACUGUCUGCUGGUAUUAAAGGCUCAGGUGUUUUACGUUCUGAUUUUGGAGAAUAUGUUAUUGAAGAAAGAAGGUCAUCUAUUUGACAGACACAUGUUUCCAUCUCUUUCAGUGCAGUUUGUAAUUUGAACAGCAAUUUCUGGUAGACAUCUUGUGUUUCUAAAUCUUCUUCUUUUAAGAGGUACCUCAGACCAUGACCCUCUUGCUGGCUGAGAGACUGUCCUGAAGGAGGCAGCCAUUGUAGUAAUGCUAUGUUGAACAUAAAUCAUAGGAUUCAGUUUACCUUGGUCAGUGUUUUUAUUUCCUUUUUCAUGUGAAGAAUGUUUUCUGCUGUCUAACU
Molecule: long non-coding RNA, 363 nt
Filed under: Gallus gallus (chicken)
Lineage: Eukaryota; Metazoa; Chordata; Aves; Galliformes; Phasianidae
Source: RNAcentral